Molecule: long non-coding RNA, 449 nt
Filed under: Pan troglodytes (chimpanzee)
Lineage: Eukaryota; Metazoa; Chordata; Mammalia; Primates; Hominidae
Description: lincRNA
Source: RNAcentral
AGUGCCAGCAUACUAUCUAUUAGAUUAAAUGAAGCUGUAAGCAUCUUUGAAGUACAAAUGAUACUUGGAAAGUAAAUGAAACUGGGAAUACUUGCAAGUAAAAUAUGGGAAGUCAAAGAGAUUAAAGGAUGAGAACCAGAAAUUGCUUAUGGCCAGUGUCCUGAGUAAGCCUCAGAAUCGCAUCCUAGAAGCAUCACGUUCUUGCGUUACCCUAUGGAUCUAAAAAAAGACUUCCUUAGUUUGAUGUAGUCUGCAGACAUCUCAUCAUCACAAAAACUUGAAAGCACUUACAGCACUAAGAAACUACCUUUGCAGAUUGUAAAAAAAGAUAGAAUCCUACUUAGUGUUUUGAUCACACCUGCCUAUUUCCCCAAGGUUUUACUGCAGGGUUAAAGAAUGAAUAAGCAUCUAGUUAUAUUUAAUAAACUCCAUGCCUCAUGGCUGAUUCU